This is a long non-coding RNA of Bombyx mandarina (wild silkworm), 615 nucleotides long. The record is from RefSeq and is a predicted model, not a curated record. NCBI's taxonomy places the organism in Eukaryota, Metazoa, Arthropoda, Insecta, Lepidoptera, Bombycidae.
UUUAUGUAAAUGAAUGUUUUACUGUUGUUGUGAAGGUGCAGUGCUUAUCGCGGGUGACAGUCGGUGUUAAUGCGCGGGUUGAGUGCGUCUCGUCGGCCAUUUUGCGGUUGCUGUCAGCGCGAUGUGUGGUCCCGUCCACUAGGCGGCGUGCGUGUCGCGUUGUCUCACGUGUGCCAGGGUACCCGCGUGCAACGCGACCGCCCCAACAUGUGGCUGGGGUCGCGUGGGCCCGGUGCGACGGCCGGCGGCGUCCAGCGACGUCGCUCGGCCUCUGGACUGGCCGCGCUACUGACGUGACUCGCCUCGACGACUCGCGACCAGACAAACGCGCAUAUCCAUAAUGGGGGACUUUAUUUUGAACUCUGGAUUAUGUGGUAAAUGACGAAUUAACGUAAAUAAAUGUUAAGACAACUAACAAUAUGACUUGAUGAUAUUAUUAUAGUUGUUUAUUAAUCUCCUAUCCUAUGGCCAUUCAUCAAACGACGUCGUGUUAAAAAUUCCCAUCGCGUCAUUCGUCGAACUUUUAAACAUUGCACGCAUUGACAACCUCUUUAGUUACAUAUAACAUCUUUAUAGCGGUAUAUUUGCAUGUAGUUGUAAGUUAAGUUCAUAGUG